UAAAAUGCAAUACUAAAUUAAAAGAUGAAAUUAUAGCUUCUAAAAGAAAACGAAUACUCCAGGACCAUAGCACCUCUAACUCCAAUGCAUCACCGUCUCAUUCUCUCAACCAAAAUGUAAAUGCAUAGUGUCUCUUGGAUUGAAAACGAAAACAAAUGCAACAGUAUAACGUUUCUGAAUGUAACCUUUGCAUUAACUAAAAGAAAGGAAAUCAAAAACUGCAGGUGUACAUUGAAAAAUGAAAGAAAAUUUGAGUACGUCUCUCUUCCAAAGAAAAUAAAGGUGUUUCUCAAAUUCCAUUUGAAUUCAAUUUGUAAACGUAACCUUGCAUUCCAGCCCCUUCCAUCAAUCACCGUCCAUGGUAGCGGCUGCAGAAUUUUCAUCCGUACCCCUCCAUUCCACUUGCAACCAGCAACGUGAUUCUUUGAAAAACAAAUUCAAUCCAAGCUAAGAAACAUUUUCCAGCAUAAACGAAAAUUAAGUAAGUGGCGGCUAAGAAAAAUCAAAGCACCGUUCCAGCAUCUACAUUCCAGCCCCAAAUGUUCCAGCCAAAGAAAUCCCCAAUAGAAAUUAAAAAAAAAGAAACAUUCUUCUUCAUUCAUCAACCAAAAUCCAACAAUAAAAAAAAAUAUAGCGUUGUUCCAGCAAGAAGAAAAAAACGUUGCUGCAGCUCCUAAUAGAAUUGCCGAAAGAUAGAGCUCAACGUUGCAGCAAUAACUAAUCAAAAUGGCAGCAGCUGGCCUUUUUAAAGAUAUGCCCAGAGGGAGUGUAUCCCUAUGUGACGGCUGGAUGCUCCAAUUCCUAGGACAUGUGUCUCAAAAAUAGGGUGGGGUCCACCCUCUUUGCAAAACCCUAGGUGCCAUGUCAUGUUUCCUAUUUGGGCUCAAACUAUUUUGCCAAAAAUUG
RNAcentral lists this long non-coding RNA (906 nucleotides) under Vigna radiata. Its description in RNAcentral is "long non-coding RNA (VRAD_LNC014622)". Lineage: Eukaryota; Viridiplantae; Streptophyta; Magnoliopsida; Fabales; Fabaceae. The record is from RNAcentral.